UACGAGGGAUGCAAGCGUUAUCCGGAAUUAUUGGGCGUAAAGCGUACGCAGGUGGCUAUUCAAGUCUUUUGUUAAAGCGUGAGGCUCAACCUCAUAAAGGCAGAAGAAACUGGAUGGCUAGAGUAUGGUAGGGGCAGGAGGAAUUCCCGGUGUAGCGGUGAAAUGCGUAGAUAUCGGGAAGAACACCAGCGGCGAAAGCGUCCUGCUAAGCCAAAACUGACACUCAUGUACGAAAGCUAGGGGAGCGAAUGGG
This 253-nucleotide ribosomal RNA is filed under the name uncultured bacterium. RNAcentral describes it as "partial 16S ribosomal RNA". It matches the Rfam family "Bacterial small subunit ribosomal RNA", at positions 524 to 776 of the family's 1533-position model. The record is from RNAcentral.